GAUGAACGCUGGCGGCGUGCCUAACACAUGCAAGUCGAACGGAGAUUACGGACGGAAGUUUUCGGAUGGAAGCCUGUAAUUCUUAGUGGCGGACGGGUGAGUAACGCGUGGGCAACCUGCCCUAUACAGGGGGAUAGCAGCUGGAAACGGCUGGUAAGACCGCAUAAGUCGGUUAAAUCGCAUGAUUUGAUCGGGAAAUGAGCAAUCAGGUAUAGGAUGGGCCCGCGUCCGAUUAGCCAGUUGGCAGGGUAAAAGCCUACCAAGGCGACGAUCGGUAGCCGGACUGAGAGGUCGGACGGCCACAUUGGGACUGAGACACGGCCCAAACUCCUACGGGAGGCAGCAGUGGGGGAUAUUGCACAAUGGAGGAAACUCUGAUGCAGCGACGCCGCGUGAGUGAAGAAGUAUUUCGGUAUGUAAAGCUCUAUCAGCAGGGAAGAUGAUGACGGUACCUGACUAAGAAGCCCCGGCUAACUACGUG
This 481-nucleotide ribosomal RNA is filed under the name uncultured bacterium. Its description in RNAcentral is "partial 16S ribosomal RNA". It matches the Rfam family "Bacterial small subunit ribosomal RNA", at positions 28 to 507 of the family's 1533-position model. The record is from RNAcentral.